This 465-nucleotide ribosomal RNA is filed under the name uncultured bacterium. RNAcentral describes it as "partial 16S ribosomal RNA". It matches the Rfam family "Bacterial small subunit ribosomal RNA", at positions 338 to 795 of the family's 1533-position model. The record is from RNAcentral.
CCUACGGGUGGCUGCAGUGGGGAAUAUUGCGCAAUGGGCGAAAGCCUGACGCAGCGACGCCGCGUGAGGGAUGAAGGUCUUAGGAUCGUAAACCUCUGUCAGCAGGGAAGAACGGUCACUGUGCUAUUCAGCAGUGUAUUGACGGUACCUGCAAAGGACGCACCGGCUAACUCCGUGCCAGCAGCCGCGGUAAUACGGAGGGUGCGAGCGUUAAUCGGAAUUAAUGGGCGUAAAGCGCUCGUAGGCGGUAUGUCAAGUCAAGGGUGAAAGCCCCGGGCUCAACGUGGGAACUGCCUUUGAAACUGGCAAACUUGAGUGUGUGAGAGGAUAGUGGAAUGCCAGGUGUAGGGGUGAAAUGCGUAGAUAUCUGGAGGAACAUCAGUGGCGAAGGCGACUAUCUGGCACAUAACUGACGCUGAGGAGCGAAAGCGUGGGGAGCAAACAGGAUUAGAUACCCCUGUAGUG